Molecule: long non-coding RNA, 556 nt
Filed under: Cucumis sativus (cucumber)
Lineage: Eukaryota; Viridiplantae; Streptophyta; Magnoliopsida; Cucurbitales; Cucurbitaceae
Description: long non-coding RNA (CSAT_LNC002486)
Source: RNAcentral
GCAGAUCAUGGCAAUUGAAUGUCUUUUGAAUCUGAUCAAAGACCCAGAAACAAGAUAUAGAGUUCUCGAAACCUCUGUUUUUUCUCUUGUUGAUUUGGUAGAGCUUGAAACUGGAAUUGAUAGAAAGAAACAAAAAUUGGGAGACAUUUUAACACGAGCAUUGUUGCAAGAUUAUCACAAAAUCAAAUACGGAAAUCAAAAGCUUUACAGUGAAAGAGCAACGAGAGCAUUAGGGGAACUUUGGGAUUUGAAAGUUGAGAAGAAGAGAAAAGAGAAAUUAAUGUCAGAGAAAGAGAUGAAAAAGAGGAAACUCUUAGUGGGUAUUCUCAAAAAACAGGGGAAUCACAAAUUUAGAAUUGGAGAAAUUGAAAAGGCUGCGAUGAAAUACACAGAAGCUUUGAAUAUAAGCUUACCGAAAAUGAGAAAACAGAGGCUAGUACUCCAUAGCAACAGAGCUCAAUGUUUUCUUUUGGUGAGGGACCCAGAAGCCGCCAUUAGCGACACGACUCGAGCUCUGUGUUUGUCGAAACAGGGGAGUCCUCACAUGAGAAGCCUA